UAAAGCAGAUCAGAGGGUAAAACAAAAAAACAAAAAAUUAACAAAGAAAAGUAAAUUGAUUUAAGCUUAAUUUUGGUCAUUGUGACAGUACGAUGCAGUACGUGUGCAAAAUUCUAGUUUGUUUACUCGCAGUUACAAUUUUAGACUUGAAUAUCUCAAAUUCUACCGAUGAUAUCAUAUCCCUUCUGUUUCCUGACGACUCAGAAUCUUUCGAGAAAUGCAUAAAAAAAUUCACUUUGGAUUUCAUUAGUAACUCUGAUCGAUUUUUCAAGAUUUAUUAAAACUCAAGUAACUGACACAUAAAACAAAAUAAUAAACAACAAAUCACACCAAUAAAUUAACAAAGUCGGCCAUGUGUGCAUUUUGUUUCGAACCGGUGGCAACCCAUGACAGAGUACACAAUCAGUCAAUUCACCUCGGUGCACACGUCCUUGCAGACGCAUCAUCAAAAUUCGCCGUGUUAUCAUUCCACAAUCAGAAUCAAAAUAAAUUCAAUCAUGAGAGCGUUCCAUUUCUAACUACGAAUAAUACCGUAAGCGUCCAUCCUCACGUCUCAAUCCAGUUACCAGUGUAAUAGAAAACAUCGAAGAAGAUAUCGAAAUAACGAAAACAUGUCGACCUCGUUGGGUAUAUUGUGUUUUGCGGCACGCGCCAUCUCGCGGAACAUAGCUCCAGUGCUCCGAAGUCAAAACCGUGACCUGGUUCUAAUGGCACACUUAUGCCGUAAACGUCGUCGUACAAAUCCUAGAUCAGAGGAAUGCCACUGCGAGGAACCAAUCAGGUAUCCCUUGUGUCGCAAGAGACAAAACUGUAUGAAUCCAUGGCAGAAACCUGAUCCCAAAUGCCCACCUCUACCGCUUUGCAAAGACAACAUAUGUGAAAAAGUAGACCCGCGUGCUUGGCAUGAUGAGCAGGAAGCGGGCAAGGAUAUAGAGCGUGCGCAGCGGUUCCAAGCGAGGGAAGAACGACGCGUGCGCAAGUGCCUUGAAUUGCGUCGUAGAUACUGCCCCAAGAAGCGCAAGCGCCGACACAAUGUGUACAAGAGUAACUGUCCGAAAGAUUACAGUGAUAGGCGCCGUUAAUAAUAACAUUGGUUGGCUGGAAACCUGCAGCUUGAUGAGAUGAUGUUGAUGGCGUUUAGCGGAGGCGGCGGUGGCGACAUUUUGGGCCGCGUCGACCGUCGGGACAGCUACAUGAGCAUGCCGGCCCAUGGUUCGCUCAUUUAACUUGCAUUUGUUUGAAAUUGCCAUUUUCAAUACCACCCACGAAUACACAUUAUAAACAUUGUUCAUUUGUGUGUGGUUUUUUUUUUAUUUGUAAUAUUUAUUUGUAAAGAGGUCUAGGAGACUGAGGGGACAUUUGAAUAUUUUGUAGCAAUCGCCGUGGAUUCGACCAAGAUGUUCGGCUGUAAGCACUUUGUGUUCUAAGGAUGUGUCAAUAUGAGAUUCAGAAUUUCCCAAGUCUUUUGAAGGCCUAAAAUAUAGUUAGAUUUUCCCCGUUGACAUCGUCAAGAUGUAAAGGCACUUCCGAAACUUCGCAGAUAGUACGCAAAGACACGCUUCCCCGUCCAAACCCAAGACAUCUAAGCCACUUACCAUAUAUUCAUACAUUGUUUUUCGGUCAAAAUCAACUUCUUCUGUACUCUCACGUCCAUACAAAGGAUCAAAAUUACUAAAAUUAUAAGGUAAGUCAUGGUUUAAGUUGAAUCCCAUACUGAAGUUGAUCAAGCGACGUGGAAAUAUCACAGGGACAGAUACUCCCGAAGUUAUCUUAAAUUUCAAAUUAUAAGACUAGUAUAUAAGGUUAUGUUGUUUGAUCAUAAUUGCAUACCUGAAGUACAGAAUAUUGUUGAAAUAAAACAUACCGUUUGCUGAUA
Molecule: long non-coding RNA, 1876 nt
Organism: Dalotia coriaria
Lineage: Eukaryota; Metazoa; Arthropoda; Insecta; Coleoptera; Staphylinidae
Exons: 2
Source: RefSeq, a predicted model, not a curated record